RNAcentral lists this non-coding RNA (72 nucleotides) under Aurantiochytrium limacinum. Lineage: Eukaryota; Bigyra; Thraustochytrida; Thraustochytriidae. The record is from RNAcentral.
GGGACGCUUAAAUCCAUCCAGCCGUCGUCAACCGCACCACCGCUAUCGACGGCAGCUGCUUUGUCCAGCAAA